RNAcentral lists this ribosomal RNA (442 nucleotides) under uncultured bacterium. RNAcentral's name for it is "partial 16S ribosomal RNA". It matches the Rfam family "Bacterial small subunit ribosomal RNA", at positions 338 to 795 of the family's 1533-position model. The record is from RNAcentral.
CCUACGGGAGGCAGCAGUAGGGAAUCUUUCACAAUGGGCGAAAGCCUGAUGGAGCAACGCCGCGUGCAGGAUGAAGGCCUUCGGGUUGUAAACUGCUUUUAUAAGCGAGAAAUAUGAUGGUAACUUAUGAAUAAGGAUCGGCUAACUACGUGCCAGCAGCCGCGGUCAUACGUAGGAUCCGAGGAUGAGCCGGAGUGACUGGGUGUAAAGAGUUGCGUAGGUGGCAUAAUAAGUAGCUAGUGAAAUCUGGUGGCUCAACCAUUCAGACUAUUAGCUAAACUGUUAAGCUCGAGACCGUUAGGGGUAACUGGAAUUUCUAGUGUAGGAGUGAAAUCCGUAGAUAUUAGAAGGAACACCGAUAGCGUAGGCAGGUUGCUGGGACGGUUCUGACACUAAGGCACGAAAGCGUAGGGAGCAAACGGGAUUAGAUACCCCAGUAGUC